This 455-nucleotide long non-coding RNA is filed under the name Mus musculus (house mouse). RNAcentral's name for it is "long non-coding RNA chr2:92361374-92361829". Lineage: Eukaryota; Metazoa; Chordata; Mammalia; Rodentia; Muridae. The record is from RNAcentral.
UUUUUCCUUUCUUUCUUUCUUUCUUUCUUUCUUUCUUUCUUUUUAACAAGAACUAAAAUAAGAAAUAGAAAAGCUGUUUUUUCAGGCUGACGGUCCUGUUGAGGGUAGCGGAGACCUUGCAUGAUAGAGUAGGCGUCAUAGUGUCAAGUGAGGUCGGUGAGUCUGUGUGCGUCCUGUGUCAUCAGUCAGGCACUGUUCUGGUUUGUUUGUUUUGUUUUUUACUUUCUGGUUUUGUUUUCUGGUUUUGUUUUUUGUUUUUUCAUGCAAGGGCAAAAAAAAAAAUCUUUGUACCUGGGGAAAACAACUUUUUUUUUAUUAAAAAGGAAAAUAAAAGAUAUUGAGGUCUUCCUAGUGUUACUUAAAUUAAGAUCAAGGUAAGAAACAUUGUAAAAAUUACAAAAGUGCUAUUUGUUUCCUAAAAACAGUGAUUUUUAUUAAAAAGGUGUCAGAACUGG